Molecule: ribosomal RNA, 344 nt
Filed under: uncultured bacterium
Lineage: Bacteria
Description: bacterial SSU rRNA
Rfam family: Bacterial small subunit ribosomal RNA
Source: RNAcentral
ACACGUGAUUCAGAGUUUGAUCCUGGCUCAGGACGAACGCUGGCGGCGUGCUUAACACAUGCAAGUGGAGCGACGAACCAGGGCUUGCCCUGGGGCAAAGCCGCGAACGGGUGAGUAACACGUGGGUAACCUGCCCCGAUGACCGGGACAACCCGAGGAAACUCGGGCUAAUACCGGAUGAGCUCCUACCACAGAAGUGGUUUGAGGAAAGGAAGCUUCGGCCUCCGCAUUGGGAUGGGCCCGCGGCCCAUUAGCUUGUUGGUGAGGUAACGGCUCACCAAGGCUUCGAUGGGUAGCUGGUCUGAGAGGACGAUCAGCCACACUGGGACUGAGACACGGCCCAG